RNAcentral lists this unclassified non-coding RNA (424 nucleotides) under soil metagenome. RNAcentral's name for it is "partial contains 5.8S ribosomal RNA, internal transcribed spacer 2, and large subunit ribosomal RNA". The stretch from base 1 to 120 matches the Rfam family "5.8S ribosomal RNA", at positions 35 to 154 of the family's 154-position model. The record is from RNAcentral.
GAUGAAGAACGCAGCGAAAUGCGAUAAGUAGUGUGAAUUGCAGAAUUCCGUGAAUCAUCGAAUCUUUGAACGCACAUUGCGCCUUCUGGUAUUCCGGAAGGCAUGCCUGUUCGAGAGUCAUUAACAACCGUUUCGAUCCCUUUCUUUCAGAAAUUACAAAGAGGAAAAGGGUUUGGUUAUGGUGGAGGAGGGAAAGGGAGCGUUUAGCCUGUAAAAAAAGAGGCUGUGUUCCGCCUCCCCCCCAAAAUUGUACAGGCGGUCGUGUGCGCCCACGCAUCGAGGUGUUGUAAAAGCUGCCACGGCACUUUUCACCUGUGCAGUGCGAGAUUGGCCAGCCGGUUUAAAAACCCCUCCAAACAAUCAAAGGUUGACCUCGGAUCUGGUAGGGAUACCCGCUGAACUUAAGCAUAUCAAUAACGGAGGA